Long non-coding RNA from Protopterus annectens (West African lungfish), 4947 nucleotides. RefSeq lists it as uncharacterized. Lineage: Eukaryota; Metazoa; Chordata; Ceratodontiformes; Protopteridae. The record is from RefSeq and is a predicted model, not a curated record. The transcript has 2 exons.
CUGUACACAUCCCCAGCUCAAGGAAGUUACAGAUGAAUUUACCUAUCGUUAUUGGUUCUAUUCCUUUGUCACCCUUUUUGCAACCUGACAUUCAAGUUGAACCAUUCAGCUCAGUCACCAAAUGAAGUGUUAGGUAUGAAAAUAAAAUGUGCAUUCAUUAUUCUGCAAUUCCUCUAUCACCCUGCCGUGGAUAAAGAGCUACUUAAGUCUAACUAGCAGCAAGAACUGAUCUGAUUUAUUGUGCUGCUUUGGUAAUUGGUGCACGUUUAAUGGUCCAGAUAGCAAAGUCACCAAGAAGCUAAAAAGACAGAAGAAGCACGGAACACAUUUACCAUUUGACAUAUAUGAAGACCUUCCUUUCAAAUGGCAUUCCACACUUGGUUUUGGACUAUUUUUAUUAGCUAUGAAGAUUUGUUUCAUCUUCUUUUCUUUUACACUUUUGAGAGCACCUAGGUCUGGAUUUAUGUGUUAUGGAUAAUAUUUUAUUAUCAUGUAAAUGCUUUGUCUGCUUGAACAUUACAGUGAGGAGAUUGCAGUCACCAUAUGUUAAUCUAUUGGCCAAGCUUGUUGGUGACCAUAGUGUAAAAGAAAAAAAUACACAUAAUUUCCUAAUUUGUUAACUGUUUCAUGAACAGGUCCACUGGGCUCAUUGUCCCAUAAAGGAAAACUUAUUUAGCAGUAUUCAAGGAAUUAGACAUUUCCAGUGCUAUUUUUUGUAGUCAUUACGUGGAAGAAAUUGUCUUAUUCAGUCAGAUAAGUAAUUUAAUCACUCAAAUCACAGUGAUACACUAUAUUUCAAGUUCUAUUUACAGCAUGCAUAUUUUACAAAUAUUCCCUAUGUUGGUGGAAGAAGUGGUUGGCAUUCUUACCCCAAAGCAAUCUUCUGUCCCUUCCACACUCUGAAGCAGCAGACUGCAGUGUGCUUACCCUUAGACUAUCUUAUCACUGCCCUAAACUCUGAUGGUGGCAGUAUAUAACUAGGUAAGAUAUUACCCUUACAUUUCUGCCUUUUGUUGGUGACAGCAUGUAACUCUGUAAGUAUUGCACUGAGAUUUACGCACUCUGAUGACAACAGCAUGUAACUCGAUAAGACCUUACCUUCACAUUUCUGCACUCUGGCAGCAGCAGCAGCGUAUAACUCAGUAAGUUAUCGUCCUCACAUUUCUUGCACUCUGGUGGCAGCAGCAUGUAAUUUAGUAAAGCACUACUGUCAUAUUUUUGCUGCUUUCUGGUGGCAGCAAUGUUUAACUCAGUAAGGUAUUGCCCUCACAUAUUUGCACUGUGUUGGCUGCAGUGUGUAACUCAAGGCAUUGCCUCACAUUGUUACAGUCUGAUGACAGAAGUAUGUAACUCGAUAAGGCUUUAUCCUCACAUUUCUGCACUCUGGUAGUGGCAGCAUGUAACUCAGUAAGGCAUUUCUUGCACUCUGGUAGUAGCAGCAUGUAACUCAGUAAGACACCACCCUCACAUUUUUGCACUCUAGUGGCAGCAGAGUUUAACUCAAUAAGGCAUUGCCCUCACAUUGUUGCAUUCUGUUGGCAGAAGCAUGUAACUUAGUACAGCUUUACCCUCACAUUUCUGCACUCUAACAAUGGCAGCAUGUAACUCAGUAAGGCACUGCCCUCACAUUUCUGCACUCUGGUAGCAGCAAUGCACAACUCAGUAAGGGCUUGCCUUCACAUCUUUGCACUCUGGUGGCAGCAGUGUGUAACUCAAUAAAGCCUCACCCUCACAUUUCUUGCACUCUGGUAGUGGCAGCAUGUAAUUCAGUAAGGCAGUGCCCUCACAUUUCUGCACUAUGGUGGCAGCAAAGUGUAACUCAUUAAGGCCUUACCCACACACUUCUGCACUUUGGUUUCAGCAGGUUAUAACUUAGGCUAACUCUUCUCUUUCGUAUAACCUGAUUGCAACAGGGUGUAACUCUCCCUUCUACAAUCUGGUGGUAGCAGAGUGUAACAUACAUAUCCAAAAGACUAAAAUUAAACAGUGAUUUUUUAGUGCUAGCAUUGAGGAAUGCGGGGAGCUAACCAGAGGUUUCAAUCUUGCUUUCUUACUGACUUGUGGCUGCUAGGGAGUAUACUUACCCUGAGGCUAUCUCUGUUGUCCUACACUCAUGAGGCAGCAAAUUAUAUCAUAGCUACCCUAAGACUUUCUUCUCAUUAUCCCAUCCACUGGGGGCAGAAGGGUUCUACUCACAAAAAUUAUAUUUUUAUUUUCCUCCAAUGUGGUGGUUUAAUUACUUAUUAAAAUUAUCUUUUCACUUCCAGACCCUCUCCACUAAUGUUAACAGUGCUAGCUGUUACUUUACUCUAUUAACUUUACAACACCUAGACUAACUUCUGUAGACAGUUUUCUUGCAAAGCAUCCAUCAUUGCCAACUUUGGGGUAUACAUCUGCAUGACAGAGCUCCCUGUCAGGGAAUAUAUAUUAUUAUUGCUUUAAUAAUAUUUUUCCUUCAUCCCAUCUUAUAAUUUUUACUAUACUAACAACAAAGGACAUUUAGAGAACAUUGUAGUAAACUUCAUGUUUGGUUAAUUAGGUUUAGGACUGCUGUAUUAACAUAUAUAAUAUUAAGCUGCGGUGGUGCAGUGGUAGCGUUGUUGCCUCAUAGCAAGAGGAUCUCCCAUUCGAUUCUUGGCUGGAGCGCCUUCUGUGUGGAGUCUGCAUGUCCUCCCUGCGGUAGAGUGGCAUUCAAAAGACAUGCGUGAAUGGGCAUGCAUUCGUUGAAGGUUUGGCAUUGGGCUUGCACCUCAGCACCAUAAAAAUCGACUGCCAAUCAUUAGCAGACUGGAGUUCCGCUGUGGUGACCCCUAACCGGGAAAAGCCGAAAGAAAACAACAACAACAUUAACGUAUAUAAUAUUCAUCAUGACUGCCAUCUCAGUUGACAACUGGUACAGAAAUGCAGUUCAACAUACCACAUAAGGCAACACAGACAAUACCCUUCCCAUAUUCAACCACACUAUGCUUGACUCAAAUUACAAGACAAAGUUUCUCACCUAACUAAACACAUCUCAUAGUAUCAAAGUCAAUCUAGCAUUUUUUCAUCAAACCAAUUCACAAGACCUCAAAAUGUGGGCAGUACUGUGGUACCUAAUUAUCCUAAAACUAAGAUCAGCAGGGGGCAUAAAGUAUAAUUUGAGUCCAGCUGUACCUAGCAAACCAAUUACUGAAAUUGAGUUUGUCUUUCUCCUUAGGCUCCUCCAAUAUUACAAGAAAUUGAACACAAUCAAGCUUACAUCACAUUCCAGCUACCUGCACUCCUGAGCUAUAAUCAAUCCAGGCCAUCAACUCACUUCCACAAGGAGUAAUGCAGCUCAGUUCUCUGACUUGCACAGUACACUGUUGCCAUAGAAGGAUAUCCAACCCGUCCAUCUAAAUGUACAAUAUGGGCUAUAUUAGAAGCAUAGGUCCUGCAGAGCAGGCCUGACAUACUUUGGAUGCCUCAUAUAACAUCCCUACUUUUCAACCUAUUUAUAGUGUUUUUGGUAUCUAUUUGUGAACAACAGAUCAGGAAAAUGGAUAGAAAAUAUUGUUUCAAAUAAAACAAAACAAAAAUUACAUAAUUUCGCUCUUAGGUGAAAACACAAAACCUUUACAUGACUCUCCGAACUCACUACAGAUUAGCAUGCAGAAAAACUCAGCAAAAUAAUAAUGUGCAUUCAUUCAUGUUCUGUCGUAAAUUGCAAGUAAGCACCGUUGAGGAAACACUAAAAAAUAGGUUCACAAAGUAACCUAGCAGCAGUGGGUAAUAAUUAGUAUAAGUCUUGGCGAUACAAAUCCUAAUUCCUUUCAUGCUGUUUUCCCUUUUUUGGCUGCUCCUAUUAUAACUAAGUUGUUCACCCAUAUGUUUAAUCUUUAUCUCACUACAGGUAUUGUUCAAUGAAAACUCAAGCAUGCUUUGAAAAUACCUAUCCCUAAAAUGUCACACCCAAAAAUCCUCCCACUUCAGACCUUUCUCUGUACUGUGCACUCUACCUGAAUUAUUUGAAAAAAUCUUAAAUCACAAAUCAUUAAACAUAUCAACAAAUGCAAACCCAUUCACUGAAGCUUAGCAUGGGCUCAGGGCAGGCAGUAACACCAUUACAGCAAUUAAUACAUUACAGAAAAAAAUUACUGAAGUAGGGACAUAGGUCAUCUUGCCAGUGCAACUUUUGUCGAGCUGAAAUGGGUGUUCAAGAGUUUAGCUCAUGACAUCCUGCUUCUUUAACUCAGACAUCUAGGUUUGUGGUAAAAAUGUCAUCAAUUGGUGAACCAGCUAUCUUAUGAACAGAACAUUUCUCAUUCAGUCAACACAGUAAUAUCUGAAGGUAGCGUCUUUAGUGAUGGACUUUCUCAGAGAUCAGUACUAGGGGCUUACCUACACAUCUGCAUUAUUGCGCCCAUUGGCUGAGCAGAUGAAGUCUGAGGAUUUAAUGUCACUGUGAGUUUUGCCACAAUGUGUGCUUUUAGGGGGUUCUUCUCCCUUUCGUCACUGUGACAUGACAGUGGAGUUAGUAUAUUUUAUUUCAGAGGACUGAAAGUGCAGGGGGGCUUGCCCCCUUGCAAACAAUAUAUAUUUUUUUGUGUGUUUUGCCUGACUUAACUCUUUUACCACUCACUUUAUUUAUAUCUCACAAUUAAAUCAACCUUUUGCUAUCUACCCUUUGUAAAUAGCUCAGUACUCUGUAUUGUGACAUUUGUCUUGCAUCACAGUUAUUUUUUUAACUAUAUCUGUAUAGGUUAUAAUUAGUAUAAAAAGCCUUAUGAAUGUAUGUAUAGUUACUAUCUUAUCUGUUUUGACAUUUAUUUUAAGUGCAUUCUGCCUGACAUUGUUGAUAUAACUUAAAAGAUUUUCAUUGAACUUCGUGUACUAGAGCAUUUCUUCCUAGGUCUGAAAAGGGGCCUUUGUGCCCAGCUGGACUACCCUGGUGAGCAAAUAUAAAAUAAAAUGAAUAAAUAAAUCCUG